CCUACGGGCGGCAGCAGUGAGGAAUAUUGGUCAAUGGACGAGAGUCUGAACCAGCCAAGUAGCGUGAAGGAUGACUGCCCUAUGGGUUGUAAACUUCUUUUAUAUGGGAAUAAAACGUUCCACGUGUGGGAUUUUGUAUGUACCAUAUGAAUAAGGAUCGGCUAACUCCGUGCCAGCAGCCGCGGUAAUACGGAGGAUCCGAGCGUUAUCCGGAUUUAUUGGGUUUAAAGGGAGCGUAGGUGGAUUGUUAAGUCAGUUGUGAAAGUUUGCGGCUCAACCGUAAAAUUGCAGUUGAAACUGGCAGUCUUGAGUACAGUAGAGGUGGGCGGAAUUCGUGGUGUAGCGGUGAAAUGCUUAGAUAUCACGAAGAACUCCGAUUGCGAAGGCAGUUCACUUGACUGCAACUGACACUGAGGCUCGAAAGUGUGGGUAUCAAACAGGAUUAGAUACCCCAGUAGUC
This 460-nucleotide ribosomal RNA is filed under the name uncultured bacterium. RNAcentral's name for it is "partial 16S ribosomal RNA". It matches the Rfam family "Bacterial small subunit ribosomal RNA", at positions 338 to 795 of the family's 1533-position model. The record is from RNAcentral.